AUUGAACGCUGGCGGCAUGCUUUACACAUGCAAGUCGUGCGGCAGCGCGGGGGCAACCCUGGCGGCGAGCGGCGAACGGGUGAGUAAUGCAUCGGAACGUAUCCUCGAGUGGGGGAUAACCCAGCGAAAGUUGGGCUAAUACCGCAUGAGCUCUGAGGAGGAAAGCGGGGGACCUGCGAGGGCCUCGCGCUGGAGGAGCGGCCGAUGUCCGAUUAGCUAGUUGGUGGGGUAAAGGCUUACCAAGGCGACGAUCGGUAGCUGGUCUGAGAGGAGGAUCAGCCACACUGGGGCUGAGACACGGCCCAGACUCCUACGGGAGGCAGCAGUGGGGAAUUUUGGACAAUGGGGGCAACCCUGAUCCAGCUAUGCCGCGUGAGUGAAGAAGGCCUUCGGGUUGUAAAGCUCUUUCGGACGGAACGAAAUGGGCGGGACUAAUACUCCUGUCUGAUGACGGUACCGUAAGAAGAAGCACCGGCUAACUACGUG
This 486-nucleotide ribosomal RNA is filed under the name uncultured bacterium. Its description in RNAcentral is "partial 16S ribosomal RNA". It matches the Rfam family "Bacterial small subunit ribosomal RNA", at positions 29 to 507 of the family's 1533-position model. The record is from RNAcentral.